Molecule: ribosomal RNA, 754 nt
Filed under: uncultured archaeon
Lineage: Archaea
Description: bacterial SSU rRNA
Rfam family: Archaeal small subunit ribosomal RNA
Source: RNAcentral
AGUCAACAUACCCAAAGGACGUGGAUACCCUCGGGAAACUGAGGAUAAACCGCGAUAGGCCAAGGUUUCUGGAAUGAGCCAUGGCCUAAAUCUAUAUGGCCUUUGGAUUGGACUGCGGCCGAUCAGGCUGUUGGUGAGGUAAUGGCCCACCAAACCUUUUACCGGUACGGGCUUUGAGAGAAGGAGCCCGGAGAUGGGCACUGAGACAAGGGCCCAGGCCCUAUGGGGCGCAGCAGGCGCGAAACCUCUGCAAUAGGCGAAAGCCUGACAGGGUUACUCUGAGUGAUGCCCGCUAAGGGCAUCUUUUGGCACCUCUAAAAAUGGUGCAGAAUAAGGGGUGGGCAAGUCUGGUGUCAGCCGCCGCGGUAAUACCAGCACCCCGAGUGGUUGGGACGAUUAUUGGGCCUAAAGCAUCCGUAGCCGGUUCUGCAAGUCCUCCGUUAAAUCCACCUGCUCAACAGAUGGGCUGCGGGGGAUACCGCAGAGCUAGGAGGCGGGAGAGGUAAACGGUACUCAGUGGGUAGGGGUAAAAUCCAUUGAUCCACUGAAGACCACCAGUGGCGAAGGCGGUUUGCCAGAACGCGCUCGACGGUGAGGGAUGAAAGCUGGGGGAGCAAACCGGAUUAGAUACCCGGGUAGUCCCAGCUGUAAACGAUGCAACUCGGUGAAUGGGUUGGCUUCCGGCCAACCCAGUGCCGCAGGGAAGCCGUUAAGUCUGCCGCCUGGGGAGUACGGUCGCAAGACUGAAACUUAA